This 1895-nucleotide ribosomal RNA is filed under the name Enterococcus faecium. RNAcentral's name for it is "partial 23S ribosomal RNA". It matches the Rfam family "Bacterial large subunit ribosomal RNA", at positions 243 to 2149 of the family's 2925-position model. Lineage: Bacteria; Bacillati; Bacillota; Bacilli; Lactobacillales; Enterococcaceae. The record is from RNAcentral.
GUAGCGGCGAGCGAAACGGGAAAAGCCCAAACCAGCAAGCUUGCUUGUUGGGGUUGUAGGACUCCAAUAUGGUAGUUCUUUCAGAUAGUCGAAUGACUUGGAAAAGUCAGUCAAAGAGGGUAAAAACCCCGUAGACGAAAUGUGGAAGACACCUAGGAGGAUCCUGAGUACGGCGGAACACGAGAAAUUCCGUCGGAAUCCGGGAGGACCAUCUCCCAAGGCUAAAUACUCCCUAGUGACCGAUAGUGAACCAGUACCGUGAGGGAAAGGUGAAAAGCACCCCGGAAGGGGAGUGAAAUAGAACCUGAAACCGUGUGCCUACAACAAGUCAAAGCCCGUUAAUGGGUGAUGGCGUGCCUUUUGUAGAAUGAACCGGCGAGUUACGAUUGCAUGCGAGGUUAAGUUGAAGAGACGGAGCCGCAGCGAAAGCGAGUCUGAAUAGGGCGUUUGAGUAUGUAGUCGUAGACCCGAAACCAUGUGAUCUACCCAUGUCCAGGUUGAAGGUGCGGUAAAACGCACUGGAGGACCGAACCCACGUACGUUGAAAAGUGCGGGGAUGAGGUGUGGGUAGCGGAGAAAUUCCAAACGAACUUGGAGAUAGCUGGUUCUCUCCGAAAUAGCUUUAGGGCUAGCCUCGGAAUUGAGAAUGAUGGAGGUAGAGCACUGUUUGGACUAGGGGCCCAUCUCGGGUUACCGAAUUCAGAUAAACUCCGAAUGCCAUUCAUUCAUAUCCGGGAGUCAGACUGUGAGUGAUAAGAUCCAUAGUCGAAAGGGAAACAGCCCAGACCACCAGCUAAGGUCCCAAAAUAUAUGUUAAGUGGAAAAGGAUGUGGGGUUGCACAGACAACUAGGAUGUUGGCUUAGAAGCAGCCACCAUUUAAAGAGUGCGUAAUAGCUCACUAGUCGAGUGACCCUGCGCCGAAAAUGUACCGGGGCUAAACAUAUUACCGAAGCUGUGGAGUACACCUUUAGGUGUAUUGGUAGGAGAGCGUUCUAAGGGCGUUGAAGGCAGAUCGUGAGGACUGCUGGAGCGCUUAGAAGUGAGAAUGCCGGUAUGAGUAGCGAAAGACAGGUGAGAAUCCUGUCCACCGAAUGACUAAGGUUUCCUGGGGAAGGCUCGUCCGCCCAGGGUUAGUCGGGACCUAAGCCGAGGCCGACAGGCGUAGGCGAUGGAUAACAGGUUGAUAUUCCUGUACCCGUUGUUUUUGUUUGAGCAAUGGAGGGACGCAGGAGGCUAAGGAAUGCAGACGAUCGGAAAUGUCUGUCCAAGCAGUAAGUCUGAAGAGGAGUCAAAUGCUUCUUUUCUUAAGGACAAGCUGUGAUGGGGAGGGAAAUAAUAGUACCGAAGUUCCUGAUGUCACACUGCCGAGAAAAGCUUCUAGUGAGAAAACAGCGGCCCGUACCGCAAACCGACACAGGUAGUCGAGGAGAGAAUCCUAAGGUGAGCGAGAGAACUCUCGUUAAGGAACUCGGCAAAAUGACCCCGUAACUUCGGGAGAAGGGGUGCUGAUCAUACGAUCAGCCGCAGUGAAUAGGCCCAAGCGACUGUUUAUCAAAAACACAGGUCUCUGCAAAAUCGUAAGAUGAAGUAUAGGGGCUGACGCCUGCCCGGUGCUGGAAGGUUAAGAGGAGUGCUUAGCGCAAGCGAAGGUACGAAUUGAAGCCCCAGUAAACGGCGGCCGUAACUAUAACGGUCCUAAGGUAGCGAAAUUCCUUGUCGGGUAAGUUCCGACCCGCACGAAAGGCGUAACGAUUUGGGCACUGUCUCAACGAGAGACUCGGUGAAAUUUUAGUACCUGUGAAGAUGCAGGUUACCCGCGACAGGACGGAAAGACCCCAUGGAGCUUUACUGUAGUUUGAUAUUGAGUGUCUGUACCGCAUGUACAGGAUAGGUA